GACGAACGCUGGCGGCGUGCUUAACACAUGCAAGUCGAACGGUGAAGGGACCGGUUUUUGCUGGUUCUGGAUGAGUGGCGAACGGGUGAGUAACACGUGAGUAACCUGCCCCCUUCUUCUGGAUAACCGCAUGAAAGUGUGGCUAAUACGGGAUAUUCUGCGCCUGCUGCAUGGUGGGUGUGGGAAAGAUAUUGUUUCGGUGGGGGAUGGGCUCGCGGCCUAUCAGCUUGUUGGUGGGGUGAUGGCCUACCAAGGCGGUGACGGGUAGCCGGCCUGAGAGGGUGGACGGUCACACUGGGACUGAGGCACGGCCCAGACUCCUACGGGAGGCAGCAGUGGGGAAUAUUGCACAAUGGGCGCAAGCCUGAUGCAGCGACGCCGCGUGAGGGAUGGAGGCCUUCGGGUUGUAAACCUCUUUCGCCAGUGAAGCAGGCCUGUCCCUUUUGUGGGUGGGUUGACGGUAGCUGGAUAAGAAGCGCCGGCUAACUACGUG
RNAcentral lists this ribosomal RNA (493 nucleotides) under uncultured bacterium. RNAcentral's name for it is "partial 16S ribosomal RNA". It matches the Rfam family "Bacterial small subunit ribosomal RNA", at positions 28 to 507 of the family's 1533-position model. The record is from RNAcentral.